AGCUUCAGUAGCGUAUAUUAAAGUUGUUGCAUUUAAAAAGCUCGUAGUUGGUGGUUCGCUACUGCCUAGUGUUCGCUUUGCGUGCGUGGGUGUGAGUUGAUACUUGGCUCGUUUUACGAGCUAUAAACACUGUGAGUAAAUUAGAGGGAUCCAAACAGGCUUGGCCGGAAUGUUUCAGCAUGGUAUGGGUUCUCGACUACUUCAGCUUUUGGCUUCGCUAAUGUUGCUCGACUACUUCAGCUUUUGGCUUCGCUAAUGUUGCUGAAGGAGUAAAGGUUAAUAGGGAUGGAUGAUGGGAUUUGUAUUGAGUUGCUAGAGGUGAAAUUCUUGGACCAACUCAAGACAUCCAGAAGCGAAAGCUCUUCUCACAAAUGCUCCUA
Molecule: ribosomal RNA, 380 nt
Filed under: uncultured eukaryote
Lineage: Eukaryota
Description: partial small subunit ribosomal RNA
Rfam family: Eukaryotic small subunit ribosomal RNA
Source: RNAcentral